Molecule: unclassified non-coding RNA, 287 nt
Filed under: uncultured fungus
Lineage: Eukaryota; Fungi
Description: partial contains 5.8S rRNA, ITS2 and 28S rRNA
Rfam family: Eukaryotic large subunit ribosomal RNA
Source: RNAcentral
AAGGAGUCGUCCUCGUAUGCGAGUGUUCGGGUGUAAAACCCCUACGCGUAAUGAAAGUGAACGCAGGUGAGAGCUUCGGCGCAUCCCCGACCGAUCCUGCUGUUCUCGGAUGGAUUUGAGUAAGAGCAUACGGGGCCGGACCCGAAAGAAGGUGAACUAUGCCUGUAUAGGGUGAGGCCAGAGGAAACUCUGGUGGAGGCUCGCAGCGGUUCUGACGUGCAAAUCGAUCGUCAAAUAUGGGCAUGGGGGCGAAAGACUAAUCGAACCAUCUAGUAGCUGGUUCCCGC